Molecule: non-coding RNA, 288 nt
Organism: Paramuricea clavata
Lineage: Eukaryota; Metazoa; Cnidaria; Anthozoa; Malacalcyonacea; Plexauridae
Source: the annotation of a GenBank genome assembly
CUUCGACAACUUUUAUUUCCUCCUUGGGGGUACACACACCCUUCCAUAAAAACUUCCCAAUCAACCCUAGAACAACUACUUUCCGUAGUCCCUUAUCCUAUUCUGUAGAGUUUUCAUGUAAACUUUCGUUAUUAACGGUAACACGUCCUCAUUAUUUCUAGCCCAUAGAAGAUCCGUCAGCGUCCUCCGUAAUGGAUGUAAUUUUUUGCACUUUUUCCUUAACCUUUCCAUUAUCAUACUAUUUGCUUCCUCUUGGGUAAAUUCUGUUGGUAGUCUUCCAACAGUUCA